This 292-nucleotide ribosomal RNA is filed under the name uncultured bacterium. RNAcentral's name for it is "partial 16S ribosomal RNA". It matches the Rfam family "Bacterial small subunit ribosomal RNA", at positions 505 to 796 of the family's 1533-position model. The record is from RNAcentral.
GUGCCAGCAGCCGCGGUAAUACGUAGGUGGCAAGCGUUACUCGGAAUCACUAGGCGUAAAGCGCAGGUAGGCGGUUUGGUAAGUCUGUUGUGAAAGCUCCCGGCUCAACUGGGAGAGGCCAACGGAAACUACCAGGCUAGAGUGUGGUAGAGGUAGCUGGAAUUCCCGGUGUAGCGGUGAAAUGCGUAGAUAUCGGGAGGAAUACCUAUGGCGAAAGCAGGCUACUGGACCAUCACUGACGCUGAUCUGCGAAAGCUAGGGGAGCAAACAGGAUUAGAAACCCUAGUAGUCC